Molecule: long non-coding RNA, 3542 nt
Filed under: Nicotiana tabacum (common tobacco)
Lineage: Eukaryota; Viridiplantae; Streptophyta; Magnoliopsida; Solanales; Solanaceae
Description: long non-coding RNA (NTAB_LNC012922)
Source: RNAcentral
UAACAUUCAGCUAGAAUAAAAUGAGUAGAAUCAUUACAGGUGAGAUACAUAAAUUGCAAACCACAUAUCUGUCCUCAAUUGUCAUCAUACAAGGCCCUUCGUCCGAACCAGAACCAAACAAAUCAAACAAAUAAUAUAAAAAUCAUUUAAUCAAUCGGCAUUUCAAAAAAAAAAUAGAAACUUAAGAACAUUGAUCAUAAUUAUAAAUGGCUGGUAAUCACGAGGAACACGUUCCAGAAAUAUGUUUAACCAUAGUACUAAAACGGAAUAUAAAGUAUCAGUUUACGAAACAAACCACCAAAAUCAUAUCAUAAAAAAAACAUACAUGAAAGUGACGAGAAUAAGACAAUAGAGAAAUAAUUGGACCUCAAGAACAAUCUUCCUUUAAUACUCACGAAUUGGAAAAAUAAUCUCCAAGUUUUGAGUUACACCACAAAAUCAUACAAAAAUUGGCUCCGAGAUCGUCAGCCGCAACUGGAACUACAGACUAAAACCUUAAUCGGUGGCGUACUCGAACUCGAACACGACCACAAGACCUCAAUGGGAACCGACAAAGGUGAAACCAGUCAGAUUUAGAGAUUGAUGAGGUGAGGCAAUAGUGGAAAGUUUCUGUCCAUAUCUGGAGCGGAUCUGGUGAUCUCUCUAUGAUAUGUGAGUGAUAGUAGAUGAAUAAGGGAAGGAGAGAGAGCAGGGGAACUCGAUGGCUCGCUAGCCAGCUUGUCGGAGGUGGCAGUGGCGGCAGAUGUUUACUUUCUAAGUUGAGAGAGAUGAUGGGUUAGGUGUAUUUGCUUUUUUCUUCAAUUGAGAGCAUGAAGAAGAUGAAUAAAAAAAGAGAGCCGGAGGGGUCUGCCCAUUGGUGCUGAAGAAUAAAGGCGUUCCAAGGUAUUGUUUUUGCUGAAGUAGAUGAACGGUGGGGGGUGUCUUUUGGUCAGGUCCUGAUCUGGUUCCUUUUUUGAUUUUUGAAGAUGAAUCCCAUUAAAAUCGGAUGGGGUCUUGUGACGACCCGACCAGUCGUCUCAUGUGUUACCGCUCCGUUUCCCCCAUUUCUGCUUCUUUAUGCUUUGUUAUCCGUGUUUUGUGGUAUCGGGUUGGUCGGAUCAAAUCCGGAAGGAUUUUGGUAAGGUUUGAGACACUUAGUCUCUUUUUUUUAGGAAGCUUACAUGGGAAAAGUCAACCGGGUGUUGACUUAUGUGUUAGAGGGCUCGGAUGUGAGUUCUGAUGGUUCGGUUAGCUUCAGGAGGUGAUUUAUGACUUAGGAGCAUGAUCGGAAUGAGUUUUGGAAGUUCGUAGCAGAUUUAGGCGUGAAUUGGCGAAGUUGAUAUUUUUGUGAUUUCCGGUUGGUAGGCAAGUUUUUGAUAUAGGGGUCGGAAUGGAAUUAUGAGAGUUGUAGUAGUUCCGUUGUGUCAUUUGGGAUGUGUAGUGNNNNNNNNNNNNNNNAAACUUAGGCUUGAAUCUGAUGUGUUUUGGUUGAUUUGAUGUUGUUUGAAGUGUUAAGAAGAUUGGAACAAGUAUGAAUAAGCUAUUAGGAUAUGUUUGUACUUUUGGUUGAGGUCCCGGGGGCCUCGGGGUGAUUACGGAUGGUUGACGGAGAGUUUGAGGAAUGUUUGUAGCUCCAGAACUUUUGCUGCUUCUGGUAUUUUCACACCUGUGGAUUGGGGACCGCAGGUGCGACGACGCAUAAGCGGAGGAAUUGAUCGCAGAAGCAAAAAUGUCUUGAGGAGCAGAAAUUGCAGAAUUAGCUAAGAGGACCGCAUCUGCGAUGUCGUAGAUCCGGGUAGGGGACCGCAGAUGCAGACUAAGGGGAAUAAGUGAUUUCCGCAGAAGCGGAUGAAUGACCGCAUAUGCGGUACCGCAGAAGCGGUUAAAGGGGCCUCAGAUUCGAAAAAUGUUGGGAAGAAAGUAUAAAUUGUGGUGUUCGCGAAUUUUGAGCUAUUUCACCAUUUUUAUCUCGGCUUUGGAGCUUUUUGGGCGAUUUGAGAGAGGGAUUUCAAGGGAACUUCAUUGAGGUAAGGAAUUUGGACCUAAAACCCGUUCUUAUGCUAUUAUUUCAUGGAUUAGAGCUAGAAAUUAUGGAAAUUAAAGGUUAAAAUUGGGGAAACUAGGGCUUGGGAACUUAGGCCGUUAAUUGAGGAUUUGAAGGACCAUUUGGGGUUGGAUUUGAGAACAUUUGAUGUGUAUGAACUCGUGGGGAGAUAAGGAACCUAUUGAUGUAAAAAUUUCUGAAUUUCGAGACGUGGGCCCGGGGGUCGGGUUUUGGUAAUUUCGGGAUUUGUGCCCUUUAUUGAUUGUUUUUGUUUUGGCUUCAUUCCCUUAGCAUAUUUUGACGUCCUCGUUCUGAUUUUGGUAGAUUCGAUGUGAGUGGAGGUCGAUUCGAGGGGCAAAGGCGUUGCGAGCUAGAGAUUUAACCGGUUUGAGGUGAGUAAUGAUUGUAAAUGAUGUUCUGAGGGUUUGAAACCCUGGAUUGCACAUCGUAGUGCUAUAUUAAGGUGAGACACAUGCUUGAUGACAUGCGUGGGGUCGCGCACUAUUGGGGAUUGUGACUUGGUCCGUCCCAAUUGAUGAUUUUACCACGUAUUUGACUGAAAUCUAUUUGCUAUCAUCAUUAUUUUGGCGGGAUGCUAUAUUUGGGCUUCGUGCCAACUAUUUGAACCCUUCGGGGAUUUUAUUGAUAUUUCCUCACUGUUUUGGCUUUAUACUUGAACUUAGUCAGGUUACUUUCCACUGUUUUCAUACUCAACCACAUUUACUCAGUUUUAAUACUUGAAUGAUAUUUUAAAUGAUGUUUGGGUUGAGAAACACUAUUUUACUAUUGCCCAAGUGGCUUGUGAGGAUUUUUGACUGAGUAAGGCCGAGGGCCUAUGUUGUGAGGAAACACUGAUACUGAUUUAAGGCCGAGGGACUGAGAUAUGUACGCCACGGGGUGGCUUGAUUGAUAUGAGACUGAGAGCCUAAUGAUGACGCCACGAGAUGUCUUGAUGUUGCGCUUGGGCUGUAAGGGCCCCCUCCAGGAGUCUGCACACUCCUAGUGAGCGCGGGUACUCAUUAUGAUGUGAAAUAUAGCCCUAGGGGCUGACUGAGACAUUGACCGAGGGUCGGAUUUGUUGACAUUAUGCCCGAAGGGAGAACCUUUAUAUGUUUAUGUUUCUUAUUUGCCUGUCAUUUACCCAUUUAAUUGUGUAUUUGUGCCCGAGGGGCGAACUUUUUGUGUUUACCUAUUCUAGUUGCUUGCAUUUAAUUGCUUUGCUGCUAAAAAGGGAUUUUAACGAAGUUUAAACUAAGCUAAGAUGUUUUAAGAGAUUUCCCAGCUUCAUUGCUUUCUUAAAAGGUUUUGUACCGCUUCUAUACAGCAUCUUGAUAUGCUUUACGUGAUUUCUUAUCGCUCAGUCUUCAUUUAUUUUUAUUACUCACUGAGUUGGAGUACUCACUUUACUCCCUGCACCUUGUGUGCAGAUUCAGGUAUUUCUGAAUCCGGUAGAGGUUCUUGGUUGAGCAGAGGCAGAGUCAUUGGAGUUCAGCGAGGUAGCUGCCCGACGUCCCCAGCA